UACGAAGGGGGCUAGCGUUGUUCGGAGUUACUGGGCGUAAAGGGCGCGUAGGCGGCGCACCAAGUCAGGCGUGAAAGCCCUGGGCUCAACCCGGGAAUUGCGCUUGAGACUGGUGUGCUCGAGUACGGGAGAGGAUAGUGGAAUUCCCAGUGUAGAGGUGAAAUUCGUAGAUAUUGGGAAGAACACCGGUGGCGAAGGCGGCUAUCUGGACCGUAACUGGACGCUGAGGCGCGAAAGCGUGGGGAGCAAACAGGAUUAGAAACCCU
RNAcentral lists this ribosomal RNA (266 nucleotides) under uncultured bacterium. RNAcentral describes it as "partial 16S ribosomal RNA". It matches the Rfam family "Bacterial small subunit ribosomal RNA", at positions 524 to 788 of the family's 1533-position model. The record is from RNAcentral.